Long non-coding RNA from Apis florea (little honeybee), 298 nucleotides. RefSeq lists it as uncharacterized. Lineage: Eukaryota; Metazoa; Arthropoda; Insecta; Hymenoptera; Apidae. The record is from RefSeq and is a predicted model, not a curated record.
UUAGGAUGCUGCAGAUAUUUUACGAAUGACAAUUUCAAGGCAGAGUGUAAGGAACUGUUAAAUUUUGGUCAAUAUAUAUAUAAGUGAUAAUGCUUGUAUACGUGUCUAAAAUACACAAGAAUAAUCCUAUAUUGUAGGAUUAUUUAAAAAGAAAAAAGAAGAGCAUUUAAAUAUAAUAAUAUUUUAAUAAUAGCAAAUAUAAUGAACAAAAAGAAGUAUAGAAAAUAUUUAUUAAUAAUAAGGAUAUUCUCUCUUUAAUUCGUGAUGGAUUAAAAUACAUAUCGUAAAAGGAAAAUUG